This 46-nucleotide small nuclear RNA is filed under the name Cervus elaphus hippelaphus. Lineage: Eukaryota; Metazoa; Chordata; Mammalia; Artiodactyla; Cervidae. The record is from RNAcentral.
UUUGUUGAAGGUCAAGUGUAGUAUCUGUUCUUACAGUUUAAUAUUU